UUCUGGUUGUUUUAAUUGCAGAUUCUUUCUACAAAUACAGCAGAAACCAGCAUAACAGUCAAUGAUGUGGUAUUUGUUAUUGGCUCAGGCAAGGUGAAAGAGAAGUCUUUUGAUGCACUGAGUUGUGUUACAAUGCUGAAAAUGGUGUGGAUUUCAAAAGCCAGUGCUAUCUAGAGAAAAGGCAGCUAUUAACAAGUCAUCUACAUUCUGAAUCAGGACAGCCCCUUCUCUCAAUUGAAAACCUGUAAGUAACUGCUCCAGUGCCUGGCCAAAUAAAUUAGGGGACUCUGUAAACCCUUGUGGGAGUACCCUGUGGGUGUCUGGGUCUUCC
Molecule: long non-coding RNA, 331 nt
Organism: Vidua macroura (Pin-tailed whydah)
Lineage: Eukaryota; Metazoa; Chordata; Aves; Passeriformes; Viduidae
Exons: 3
Source: RefSeq, a predicted model, not a curated record